GGUUAAGCGACUAAGCGUACACGGUGGAUGCCCUGGCAGUCAGAGGCGAUGAAGGACGUGCUAAUCUGCGAUAAGCGUCGGUAAGGUGAUAUGAACCGUUAUAACCGGCGAUUUCCGAAUGGGGAAACCCAGUGUGUUUCGACACACUAUCAUUAACUGAAUCCAUAGGUUAAUGAGGCGAACCGGGGGAACUGAAACAUCUAAGUACCCCGAGGAAAAGAAAUCAACCGAGAUUCCCCCAGUAGCGGCGAGCGAACGGGGAGGAGCCCAGAGCCUGAAUCAGUGUGUGUGUUAGUGGAAGCGUCUGGAAAGGCGCGCGAUACAGGGUGACAGCCCCGUACACAAAAAUGCACAUGCUGUGAGCUCGAUGAGUAGGGCGGGACACGUGGUAUCCUGUCUGAAUAUGGGGGGACCAUCCUCCAAGGCUAAAUACUCCUGACUGACCGAUAGUGAACCAGUACCGUGAGGGAAAGGCGAAAAGAACCCCGGCGAGGGGAGUGAAAAAGAACCUGAAACCGUGUACGUACAAGCAGUGGGAGC
Molecule: ribosomal RNA, 540 nt
Filed under: Escherichia coli
Lineage: Bacteria; Pseudomonadati; Pseudomonadota; Gammaproteobacteria; Enterobacterales; Enterobacteriaceae
Description: partial 23S ribosomal RNA
Rfam family: Bacterial large subunit ribosomal RNA
Source: RNAcentral